Microcebus murinus (gray mouse lemur) is the source of this 65-nucleotide small nuclear RNA. Its record names the gene U7. It matches the Rfam family "U7 small nuclear RNA". From Rfam's summary of the family: Animal histone pre-mRNAs are spliced by a different mechanism than nuclear pre-mRNAs and self-splicing introns. This processing involves the U7 snRNP, which contains only one RNA species: U7. Lineage: Eukaryota; Metazoa; Chordata; Mammalia; Primates; Cheirogaleidae. The record is from Ensembl.
UAGUGUUACAGCUCUUUUAGAAUUUGUCUAGCUGGUUUUCCUGUUUUCACCAGAAGAAUGCCCCU